RNAcentral lists this transfer RNA (62 nucleotides) under Eupelmus anpingensis. RNAcentral describes it as "tRNA-His". The record is from RNAcentral. Lineage: Eukaryota; Metazoa; Arthropoda; Insecta; Hymenoptera; Eupelmidae.
AUUUAAAUAGUUUAAAAUAAAAUAUUGAUUUGUGGAAUCAAAGAUAAUUUUAUUUUUAAAUA